Molecule: long non-coding RNA, 2734 nt
Organism: Amphiprion ocellaris (clown anemonefish)
Lineage: Eukaryota; Metazoa; Chordata; Actinopteri; Pomacentridae
Source: Ensembl
CGCUACAGAUACGAGGCGACACAGGGGGCUGCUCUUAGAACUCACUCAUGUGGAUGACAGCUGGACUUCGGUGUGACAUUCAGUCAGUGUGAUUCUUGUAGGAGACAGUAAAGAAUGAAGAGGAAGGGAACCACCAGCAGCUUUUCCCAGCCUAAAAGAAGAGAGGAGGAAGAGCAUCCCAGAGAGGAGAUGGAGGAGGAAGAGUUCAGAGAGAGAGAAAGAAAUGAAGGCAUGCAGAGCUGAGACAGUGAAAGACCAAAGAACUACAGACUCUUCACAACCUGCUCAAACUCUUGGUACAGGACCUCACCACACGGGUCAAGAAGGUUUCCGUCUCAUUUCUACUCUGAAGCUCACCUUCUCCAGCUCAAACUGCUGACAAAUGUUUCUGCUGCUCUAAAGUCUGGUCUCCAGAACUUCCUAAAAACUCUCAAAGUCUCUUCUGCUGCAGGCUGCUUUGUAGAACUGUUCCAGAAAACCUCACUAAACCACAUGGAGGGGCCUCAAGAUAGUCGUCCAAAUGAAACCAUACAAAAACCAAACUAGCACAACCCAAACGCUAAAGUUUCCUGCAGCCUACCAGAGAACCUCUUUAAACAGAGAAUCAGGACAGGAACUCUUACCUUCUGGACAACCAACGUUGGUUCACAAACAAGAAUACAGAAUGUGUCUGACCAAAAACCUCUGAAGACUCACUACAGCCAAGAUAAAGACACAACUCAGCUGCACCAUAUCCACUAAUCACUGCACACAUUAGCACCAUGUGCUAACUGUGGCUAAAGAACCACAUUUACCAAGACAACUAUCCAGUACAAAGCCCUAAAACACACCAAGAAACACAUUAAAGACAAUUUUACUGCUGGAAGCUGCAAGCCAACGCCUAAAGAACAAACUAAAGCAAUGGAGCCAAAGUGGUGAAGAGAAGCAGAGGAAAUGUUUGGCUGCAGCUAAAUAAAGCAGGAAGACACUGAGCUGCUCAGGUGUUCCUGAUAACACCAAGCAGCCACCUGGACAGCCAAUAGGAACACAGCUUACUGGAAGUCCAGAGGGCUGGCUUAGUGAAGGAAAUUUAGUUUAAAGUUGAAGCAGAAAGUAAACAAAGAAAGUUGAAAACCACCUUCUGAUACCUGAAAUCUCUGAGUUUUCACACAAAGAACACCUGAACAUGUCAAACUGGUUCCAUAGUAGAACCAUCAUUGUGAAAACGUCAUAGUAUGGUGUGUUGCUCAAAAAAUAUUACGACCCGGCUGUCAGGGGUUGCAGAGGAGCAACACAAAAACAGGACAAACGCUGGUUUCCAGGGGGUUAGGAGGCUAUUUAUUUGAAAGAGUAAGUUUACAACAACACAACAUGUGAGCAGAAAAAUCACAAAGUCUGUCUUUAGUUCAGCUGAAAAUAUUAGUUUUUCUCUUUUUUAUUGACCAAACUUUUCAGGAAGUAGAUGAAGAAUAAUUAAAGCUCUCAUGUAGUAGUCCAAUUUAUUUUGGAUCCUUAUGGAGAGUUUAAUCUUAGAAUUUGUAAAAAUGUUGAGGUUUUAGAGUCACAUGGAUUGUUUUGACAUUUAAUAACCGAGUCCUGAAAUAAAAUUAUAGUUGUGGAUUUCUGUCAUUUAGUCUGGACUAAACAAAUAACAGCAGCAUAAAUCUCAAAUGUCAUUAUGAGGAGUCUGGAUUGAGGUUUCUCACUUGAUAAUGAUCAAAACAUGAAAUUUAGGUUGGUUUAAAGGAAUAUUCCACCUUAAAUCUUUGAAUGUUGACCUAAAAGGUUGGUUUCAGGAAGUAUUCCACCUACAAGGUCCUCACGCAUCCACCUUAAAGGAACAUUCCACCAAAAAUCCUUGGACAUGCACCUAAAAUGUUGGUUUAACCGAGUAUUCCAUCCAAAAUCCUCAAAGAGACCUGAGGGGUUGGUUAAAAGGAAUAUUCCACCUAAAACCUCAAAUAUAGACCCGAAAGGAUGGUUUAUAAAAAAAUCCUUCAAUGUAGACCAAAAAAGUCAGUAUGGAGGAAUAUUCCACCUGAAAUGUAGACCUGAGAAGUUGGUUUGGAAGAAUAUACCUUCCUAAACAUCCUUAAAUGUAGACUAAAAGACGGUUUGGAAGAAAAUUCCACCUAAAAUCCUCCAAUGUAGACCUAAAAGGUGAGUUUAAUGGUAUAUUCCACCUAAAAUUCACUACUGUAGACCUUGGAGGUUGGUCUGAUGGUAUAUUCCACCCAACAUCCUUGAACAUAAACUUAAAAAGUUUGUUCAAAGGAAUAUUUCACCUAAAAUCCUUCAGUGUAGACCAAAAGAAUCUUGGUGUAAAGGAGUAUUCCACCUUAAAUGUAGACCUAAAGGAUGGUUUGGAGUAAUAUUAUAAUCUAAAAUCUUCCAAUGUAGACCUAAAAGGUUGAUCUGAUGGUAUAUUCUACCCAACAUCCUGGAACAUUUACCUAAAAGGUUGGUUUAAUGGUAUAUUCCCAGAAGAACCCUUGAACAUUGGGCUUAAUGGUAUAUUCCACCCAAAAUACUUCUACAUAUACCAAGAAGUCAGUGUAAAGGAAAUGUAGACCUAAAAGGAUUGUUUAAAGGAAUAUUUAAACUAUUAUUUUCAUGAUUUAAUAAUCUGUUAUCAGUCAGAACCCUGGCAAACUUAUUUUCAUCAGUUUUUUUAGUGGAAGUCACAAAUAAAGGAGCUCUUGGUUUUUCCCGGCGUUACUGAGUCCAAAGCUGCUGUUUCAACACAGAACGUUCA